Mycena rosella is the source of this 90-nucleotide non-coding RNA. Lineage: Eukaryota; Fungi; Basidiomycota; Agaricomycetes; Agaricales; Mycenaceae. The record is from the annotation of a GenBank genome assembly.
GGCCCGGUAGCGGAUGCGCCGCGCCUGCGUUCCAUAGAGUGGAAAUCGUUCGUUCUGCAGGAGUUGCUCGUUCGAAUCGAGCCCGGGCCU